RNAcentral lists this ribosomal RNA (254 nucleotides) under uncultured bacterium. RNAcentral describes it as "partial 16S ribosomal RNA". It matches the Rfam family "Bacterial small subunit ribosomal RNA", at positions 524 to 776 of the family's 1533-position model. The record is from RNAcentral.
UACGGGGGGGGCAAGCGUUGUUCGGAAUUACUGGGCGUAAAGGGCUCGUAGGCGGCCAACUAAGUCGGACGUGAAAUCCCCCGGCUUAACCGGGGAACUGCUUCCGAUACUGGAUGGCUUGAGUGUGGGAGAGGGAUGCGGAAUUCCAGGUGUAGCGGUGAAAUGCGUAGAUAUCUGGAGGAACACCGGUGGCGAAGGCGGCAUCCUGGACCAUUACUGACGCUGAGUGAGCGAAAGCCAGGGGAGCAAACGGG